AUUACUUAACCAAAACUCAUGAUAAUCUCGAUGAUAUGCUGCGUUUAUGAUAUAUAAUUAGUCUAUCAAAUCAUUGUGACAAGAAAGGAAGUGCAUCAAUCUUUGGAAGCUUGUAUUGGUAACUCUAAACAGUUUUCAGAUGGAUUCAUCAUCCUCACAGAACAAUGGAGCUGGCAAAGAACAUGAAGUUCAGUAUACUAAAAUAGGAAAAGGAAGGAAACAUAUACACCUACUUUGCUUGUAAUUAACGUGUAUAUGGUCUCUUCUUUCAUUGACCUACUAUACUUGUAAUGUUUAGAACCAUUGCAUAUGUUUCGCUCGUAUCGUACGUCUUGUGUUU
Long non-coding RNA from Brassica oleracea var. oleracea, 340 nucleotides. RefSeq lists it as uncharacterized. Lineage: Eukaryota; Viridiplantae; Streptophyta; Magnoliopsida; Brassicales; Brassicaceae. The transcript is spliced from 2 exons. The record is from RefSeq and is a predicted model, not a curated record.